UGUUUCCCAGAGGCAGCGCUGCCGCACGAGAGGGCAGGGCGUCGAAGGUUCAUCACCCUCUCUCCACCAGGAGCUGGAGGAGCAGCUCGGGAUUAAAAUACUUCUGGAAGACUCUCAGGUUCUACCAGAAGCUCUUAAAGGAGAAACAGAACCUCGCUGGAUGCACAGGGUCCAGCAAAGGUGUCCUGCCCCUGGUUCUCAAGUGAAGACCUUGAUGUCCAAAGUGAAAGGGCAGCUGGAAGAUGAGGGUCAACUGCAGUUCCUCGGACUGGUCAGGAUGUACUUACUGGCAACUCCCCUUGUAUCUCGGCUCCUCUCCCUCCUAAGAUCUGAUACUCGCCAGGAUUUACCCUUUUAAAACUCUGGAAAUCAGUCCAAGUGAAAACAGACCCUGACUUUUGAGACGCUGCUCCUGGGGUCAGGGCAGCAGGUCAACUGGACAUUGGGGAUUGAUUCGCUGCCCAAUGUCAUGUGUGCCAAGUGGUGUGACCGUGAACCCAGCCGACCAGGGCAAGGAGAUACCGGACUUAAGCACACUCACCCAUCGUCUAGAACAACAUCGGCAAGAAUCUGGUGGGAUGAGCAGAAGAUGGCCAGGCUCACUUGGACUCCAGGCACCUGGCUGAGGGGCCCCUCACAUGCAGACCUGGGCACCUGGCACGCCUUCCCAUGCUGCUGCAGCAGUGAUGUCCUGCACUGCCUGGUGGACCGCUUCAGCAGCACUCCAACCAGGUAUCAUCUGUGAAAUGCCUUGUGGAUAAGACAAACAUGGGACCUUCUUCAUUUAUGCUUUUAUUUUUC
Molecule: long non-coding RNA, 801 nt
Filed under: Capra hircus (goat)
Lineage: Eukaryota; Metazoa; Chordata; Mammalia; Artiodactyla; Bovidae
Description: lncRNA (ENSCHIG00000007122.1)
Source: RNAcentral